CCACGGGUGAGUAACACGUAUCCAACCUGCCGUCUACUCUUGACAGCCUUCUGAAAGGAAAGAUUAAUACAAGAUGGCAUCAUGAGUCCGCAUGUUCACAUGAUUAAAGGUAUUCCGGUAGACGAUGGGGAUGCGUUCCAUUAGAUAGUAGGCGGGGUAACGGCCCACCUAGUCUACGAUGGAUAGGGGUUCUGAGAGGAAGGUCCCCCACAUUGGAACUGAGACACGGUCCAA
This 234-nucleotide ribosomal RNA is filed under the name uncultured bacterium. RNAcentral describes it as "partial 16S ribosomal RNA". It matches the Rfam family "Bacterial small subunit ribosomal RNA", at positions 102 to 334 of the family's 1533-position model. The record is from RNAcentral.